Acanthosepion pharaonis is the source of this 114-nucleotide non-coding RNA. Lineage: Eukaryota; Metazoa; Mollusca; Cephalopoda; Sepiida; Sepiidae. The record is from the annotation of a GenBank genome assembly.
UUACGGUCAUAUCACGUAGAAACACUGUUUCUCGUGCGAUCACCUAAGUUAAGCAACGUCGAUCCUGGUCAGUACCUAGACGAGGGACCGCUUGGAAAUAGUAUGUGCUGUAAG